Molecule: transfer RNA, 73 nt
Filed under: Anaerolineales bacterium
Lineage: Bacteria; Bacillati; Chloroflexota; Anaerolineae; Anaerolineales
Description: tRNA-His
Rfam family: tRNA
About the family: Transfer RNA (tRNA) molecules are approximately 80 nucleotides in length. Their secondary structure includes four short double-helical elements and three loops (D, anti-codon, and T loops).
Source: RNAcentral
GUGGCUGUAGCUCAAUUGGCAGAGCGCUGGACUGUGGAUCCAGCUGUUGCGGGUUCAAUCCCCGUCAGCCACC